GACGAACGCUGGCGGCGUGCUUAACACAUGCAAGUCGAACGGAAAGGCCCUGCUUUUGUGGGGUGCUCGAGUGGCGAACGGGUGAGUAACACGUGAGUAACCUGCCCUUGACUUUGGGAUAACUUCAGGAAACUGGGGCUAAUACCGGAUAGGAGCUCCUGCUGCAUGGUGGGGGUUGGAAAGUUUCGGCGGUUGGGGAUGGACUCGCGGCUUAUCAGCCUGUUGGUGGGGUAGUGGCUUACCAAGGCUUUGACGGGUAGCCGGCCUGAGAGGGUGACCGGCCACAUUGGGACUGAGAUACGGCCCAGACUCCUACGGGAGGCAGCAGUGGGGAAUAUUGCACAAUGGGCGGAAGCCUGAUGCAGCAACGCCGCGUGCGGGAUGACGGCCUUCGGGUUGUAAACCGCCUUCGCCUGUGACGAAGCGUGAGUGACGGUAAUGGGUAAAGAAGCACCGGCUAACUACGUG
This 468-nucleotide ribosomal RNA is filed under the name uncultured bacterium. Its description in RNAcentral is "partial 16S ribosomal RNA". It matches the Rfam family "Bacterial small subunit ribosomal RNA", at positions 28 to 507 of the family's 1533-position model. The record is from RNAcentral.